Molecule: long non-coding RNA, 278 nt
Filed under: Brassica rapa (field mustard)
Lineage: Eukaryota; Viridiplantae; Streptophyta; Magnoliopsida; Brassicales; Brassicaceae
Description: long non-coding RNA (BRAP_LNC007732)
Source: RNAcentral
AAAAAGUGCCUUCAGCUCUAACUGGACCACCGCAUUUCUCACUGUUGUCAAUAAUCUCAUUGAAGUCCCUGAUUAAAAACCAGGGGCCUCCCCUGGGUGGGUGUAAGAUAGAGAUAUUGUUCCACACUUGUUGUCGUUUAGUGUGAUCUGGUUCUCCAUAGACAAAUGUUGUGUGAAACGUAUUUCUUUUGUAGCUUAUAGACGUAUCUAUGAAGUUGUUUAUAAAUGUAAUAACAGUUAGGUUAAUAUCUUUUUUCCAGGACAGAAAGAGACCAUCU